This 887-nucleotide ribosomal RNA is filed under the name Tectatodinium pellitum. Its description in RNAcentral is "partial large subunit ribosomal RNA". It matches the Rfam family "Eukaryotic large subunit ribosomal RNA", at positions 70 to 919 of the family's 3401-position model. Lineage: Eukaryota; Dinophyceae. The record is from RNAcentral.
AAGAAUUCUCGCAGUAAUGGCGAAUGAACAUGGAACAGCUCCCAUUGACAAUCUGCUCUGUUUUUCCAGGUGUGUUGUUCAAAGUUGCAUAACUAACAAAAGCGCUUGUGCCUAAUGUUUGGGAUAUGUGGCAAUGAAGGUGAGCCUCCUGCAUUUCAUGUACGUUUUUGUGCAAGGUAUGCUUCCAAGAAUCGUGCCCCUCAAUCUUGGAGUGCAAAGUUGGUGGUAAAAUGUGUGUAAAGCCCAACAGCUGUUUGAGAGCGAUAGCGAACAAUUACUAUGAGGGAAACGUGAAAAGGACUUUGAAAAGAAUGUUACAAUUACCUGAAAUUGCUGGAAUGAAAGCAAAUGGUGUGUUGAUGUUGAGCAGGGUUAUAGUGCGCAAGCAUCAGCCAGAGGGCGGGCCUCCUUUACUUGUGGUUGUGUGGGCAUGCAGAUCAUCUUGCUCUGCGUGCGCAAGUGGCUUGGAACUCUCAUAAUGCAGCAAGCAGGGGCAACAUGCCUAUUGCAUGGCGUGGACAUGUCAAACUUGACAGUGAAGGUUAUUUCUAUUACUUAGAUGAUGCUUGCAGGACAAGGAUGAUGUCCUGGAGUCAUGCCUGGGUUAUAAAUUGCAUGGAAUAUGUCAUUUGACCCGUCUUGAAACACGGACUAAGGAGUCUAAUGCAUGUGCGAGUAGUUGAGUUAUAAUUUGGAGUGAAGUGAAAGUGACAUUUUGGGAUGUGUGCGCCAAAGGCCAGUCCUGCUUGUGAGAGUUUUGCGUUUGAGCAUGCGCAUUAGGACCCGAAAGAUGGUGAACUAUGCUUGGGGAACAUAAAUUCAGGGGAAACUCUGAAGGAGGCUUGCAGCGGUACUGACGUGCAAAUCGUUCGUCUUACUUGGGUAUA